UGGGCAUGGGGGGGGAAGGGAUUUUUGCUACCUGUUCUCUAAACCACCACCCGCCAUCGCUACCAGAUCAGGCGAUCCGGUCCAAACUGGGAGCAUUUCACCCCUGCAUAAAACCCCAGAUUUUUUAUUCAUUAAAAAUUAUUCCAGGCCACCAAGGAAUGCCUGGCCUGUGAAUCAGCUAUUUAGCAGCAAACACAGCGGCAACAGGUAGUGGUGUGGUAAAGCUAGUGUUAUACAACUUCAUGGGUUUGGGGUGGAGGGGGGGAAGAAAAGUGGGGGGGGUGGUUGUUGGCAGCUGUAAAUUUAUUUUUUUUCAAAAGUGCCAGCAGGCCUCUCACAAAGCUGCUUUGGCAAGCCUGCUGGGAACAAAAACGGACUCCCCCACUCCCGUUUUUUGGUUCAGCUAGCAGACUUCAGGGAAGCCUGCUGGGAGCAAAAACGGACCCCCCCACUCCCGUUUUUUGGUUCAGCUAGCAGACUUCAGGGAAGCCUGCUGGGAGCAAAAACGGACUCCCCCACUCCCGUUUUUUGGUUCAGCUAGCAGACUUCAGGGAAGCCUGCUGGGAGCAAAAACGGACCCCCCCCAUUUUUUGGCUAGCACCCAGCUGAGCCACGCGGUCAUCAGUUUUUUUAAAAAACUUUUUAAAAGUUUUUAAAAAAACUUUUAAAAGCAUUUUUUUUGGCCGAAGAAAAAAUGCUUUUAAAAGUAAAAAAACAAAACCUAUGAUCGCACAGCUCAGUUGGGCAUGGUGGGGGGAGAGAUUUUUGCUACCGGUUCUCCGAACCAUCCGCUGACAUCGCUACCGGAUUCGGCGAUCGGGUCCGAACCAGGAGCAUCUCACCCCUGCUUUGUCUCCUCCAUUAACGACUCAAAAUAGUCGACCGACUGGUCAUGUCCCAUUCCCAAUCGUAUCUCGUGUAAACUUCCAAGGGCGGUGCAGAUAGUCCUCAAUUUACAACCACAAUUGAGCCCAAAAUUUAUGUUAAGCUGAGAAUUUUUUAAGUGAACUUUGUCCUAUUUUAUGAUUAUGAUUAUUAUUAUUAUUUUGCCACAUUAAGUAAAUUACUGCAGGUGUUAAAUUAGUAACCCGGUUGUUAAGUGGAUCCGGCUUCCCCAUUGACUUUGCUUGUCAGAAGGUCGUAUAAAGGAAUCCCAUGAGUCCGGGACACUGCAACCGUCAUAAAUAUGAGACAAUUGCCAAGCAUGUAUGUAAAUCAUGUCACCAUGGGGAUGCUACAAUGGACACAGGUGUGAAAAAUGGUCCUAAAUCACUUUUUUCAGUCCCAUUAUAAUUUUGAACAGCCACUAAAUGAACUUUUGUAAGUCAAGGACUACCUGUACAUGUAACAAUGAAGCUUCCAGCUGAAAAAAUAAGUAUAUCCCAGUAAGGUAAAGGUAAAGGUUCCCCUCACACAUAUGUGCUAGUCGUUCCCGACUCUAGGGGGCUCAUCUCCGUUUCAAAGCCGAAGAGCCAGCGCUGUCCAAAGAUAUCUCCGUGCUCAUGUGGCCGGCAUGACUCAACGCCAAAGGCGCACGGAACACUGUUACCUUCCCACCAAAGGUGGUCCCUAUUUUUCUACUUGCAUUUUUACGUGCUUUCGAACUGCUAGGUCAGCAGAAGCUGGGACACGUAACGGGAGCUCACCCCGUUACGUGGCAGCACUAGGGAUUCGAACCACUGAACUGCCGACCUUUCGAUCGACAAGCUCAGCGUCUUAGCCUCUGAGCCACGACGUCCCUUAUGAACAUAGCAAAAGUGCCGUCGUAACGUCAGUCACUAAACGAAACGCUAUCAGUUGAGGACUACCUGCACCAACCUGGAAAAGGAGUUUUGGCCAUUCAAGCAGGGGAGAUUUUCCUGCCCAGCCGUUUGAGCUUUCUACUGGUUCUACCAUAUCGCAAGAUCUAAAAUGGACAGCUAACAUCAAAAAGGUCAUCAAAAAAGGACAACAAAGAAUGUUCUUUCUGGGCCAACUCAGGAAGCUCAAACUGCCCAAGGAGCUGCUGAUCCAGUUCUACAGAGGAAUGAUUGAGUCUGUCAUCUGCACCUCCAUAACUGUCUGGUUCGGUUCUGCAACCCAACAAGACAGACACAGAUUUCAGAAAAUAAUUGGAACUGCAGAAAAAACAAUGGCUACCAACCUGCCUUCACUGAGGACCUGUAUACUGCACGAGUCAAAAAGAGGGCUGUGAAAAUAUCUACAGACCCCUCACAUCCUGGAAAUAAACGGUUUCAACUCCUACGCUCAAAACGACGCUAUAGGGCACUGCACACCAGAACAUAUAUGCACAAGAAAAGUUUUUUCCUGAAUGCCAUCACUCUGCUAAACAAAUAAUUCCCUCAACACUGUCAAAACUAUUUACUAAAUCUGCACUACUAUUAAUCUUCUCAUCAUUCCCAUCACCCAUCUCCUUCCACUUAUGACUGUAACUUUGUUGCUUGUAUCUUACGAUUUAUACUGAUAUUGUUUCCUGAUUGCUUAAUUGUUAAAUUUGUAUCCUAUGAUUAUCAAUAAGUGUUGUAAGUGUUGUACCUUAAUGAAGGUAUCUUUUCUUUUAUGU
Ahaetulla prasina is the source of this 2563-nucleotide long non-coding RNA. RefSeq lists it as uncharacterized. Lineage: Eukaryota; Metazoa; Chordata; Lepidosauria; Squamata; Colubridae. The transcript has 3 exons. The record is from RefSeq and is a predicted model, not a curated record.